GUGCGUCAUUCGCUAAGUGAAUUGUCAACAUUGAAAAUAAAAAGUGCAGAAAUUGGACAUUAUUUAUACGAUCAUGCCUCCCUUGGUUCAAUACUUUAUGGCACCCGUUGAAGCCAAACUGAACUAACCAACGGGUUUACAAACGCCCCCACACAAAGCGCGUAAAUCAAGAUAAAUGAUUUGUCGCCAAGGGCAACAGAAAUUCAAUUAGCA
Long non-coding RNA from Drosophila nasuta, 213 nucleotides. RefSeq lists it as uncharacterized. The transcript is spliced from 3 exons. Lineage: Eukaryota; Metazoa; Arthropoda; Insecta; Diptera; Drosophilidae. The record is from RefSeq and is a predicted model, not a curated record.